AUUAAACGCUGGCGGCAUGCCUUACACAUGCAAGUCGAACGGUAGCGCGGGGCAACCUGGCGACGAGUGGCGAACGGGUGAGUAAAGCAUCGGAACGUGCCCUGGAAUGGGGGAUAACGUAGCGAAAGUUACGCUAAUACCGCAUAUUCUGUGAGCAGGAAAGCAGGGGAUCGCAAGACCUUGCGUUCUGGGAGCGGCCGAUGUCGGAUUAGCUAGUUGGUGGGGUAAAAGCCUACCAAGGCGACGAUCCGUAGCGGGUCUGAGAGGAUGAUCCGCCACACUGGGACUGAGACACGGCCCAGACUCCUACGGGAGGCAGCAGUGGGGAAUUUUUGGACAAUGGGCGGAAGCCUGAUCCAGCCAUGCCGCGUGAGUGAAGAAGGCCUUCGGGUUGUAAAGGCUCUUUCGGUUGGGGGAAGGAAAGUUAGCACGGGUUAAUACCCUAGUGUAGAUGACGGUA
Molecule: ribosomal RNA, 460 nt
Filed under: uncultured bacterium
Lineage: Bacteria
Description: bacterial SSU rRNA
Rfam family: Bacterial small subunit ribosomal RNA
Source: RNAcentral